UUUCCGUAGGUGAACCUGCGGAAGGAUCAUUACUGAGUUAGGGUCUUUAUGGCCCGACCUCCAACCCUUUGUUUAAUCUACCAUGUUGCUUUGGCAGGCCCGCUUAGAAAUGGGCCGCCGGAGACCUUUGAGUCUCUGGUCAGUGCCUGCCAGUAGCCUUUCUAAAUUCAUUUAUAACCGUGUCUGAAUAUACAAAGUAAAAUAAAAAUAAAACUUUCAACAACGGAUCUCUUGGUUCUG
RNAcentral lists this unclassified non-coding RNA (240 nucleotides) under plant metagenome. Its description in RNAcentral is "partial contains small subunit ribosomal RNA, internal transcribed spacer 1, and 5.8S ribosomal RNA". The record is from RNAcentral.